GGGCCCGUGGUGCAAUUGGCAGCACACCGCGACUUGCCAUCCCGGAGAUGCGGGUUCGAAUCCCGUCGGGUCCA
RNAcentral lists this transfer RNA (74 nucleotides) under Thermoleophilia bacterium. RNAcentral describes it as "tRNA-Ala". It matches the Rfam family "tRNA". Rfam says of the family: Transfer RNA (tRNA) molecules are approximately 80 nucleotides in length. Their secondary structure includes four short double-helical elements and three loops (D, anti-codon, and T loops). Lineage: Bacteria; Bacillati; Actinomycetota; Thermoleophilia. The record is from RNAcentral.